RNAcentral lists this ribosomal RNA (282 nucleotides) under uncultured bacterium. RNAcentral describes it as "partial 16S ribosomal RNA". It matches the Rfam family "Bacterial small subunit ribosomal RNA", at positions 28 to 307 of the family's 1533-position model. The record is from RNAcentral.
GACGAACGCUGGCGGCGUGCUUAACACAUGCAAGUCGAGCGGUAAGGCCCUUUCGGGGGUACACGAGCGGCGAACGGGUGAGUAACACGUGGGUGACCUGCCCUCCAGCUCUGGGAUAAAGCCUGGGAAACCGGGUCGUAAUACCGGAUAUGACUCCAUGACGCAUGUUGUGGGGUGGAAAGCCUUGUGCGGCUGAGGAUGGGCCCGCGGCCUAUCAGCUUGUUGGUGGGGUGGAUGGCCUACCAAGGCGACGACGGGUAGCCGGCCUGAGAGGGCGACCGG